ACUACAAACAUGCGAAGAAGAAAAAAUGUCAAGCGCGAAGCAGCAGAGUCCGACAGGUCAUAUUAUCGAGAAGUCACGUACACCUGCUUAAUCACUGGUUGCCAUGUUGGAGCGUCCAUCUCUGCACCAACAUCUGAAACAUCCUGAUAGAAAACACCAUCCGUAAUGAGCUGAAGCAACAACUUUAUUUCUGCCAAACAUUAUUUUUUACAUCAAAUUAAAAAACAAAUAAAGACACUAAAGAACAGAUGAAAAAACCCAAAGAUUCCCAGUUUUUUCACCUCAUUCCCACAUUUUCAAUCAAACUGUUGCAGAACCUUAAACCAUAACGACAUUUUAAUGUUAAAUGCAUUCAUUGGUUCUGCAGCAACUCAACACACCAAUCUUGUUUGAUGGUUUACACCUGAAGACCGACCCAAAAAGCCCAAAUCAAUCUAGAAAACAUUCCAGAAUAAUUUUUCCCCCAAGUUGCUGCAACUCAAAUUCAAACUGUCCACGUUUAAAAUGUCCUCUGCUUCCUUUUUUUGCUUCACUUUAUUUGAUGGAUCUUUGCAGUUUCUUUGUUUUUACACUUCCAGGCCACCGUACCCUGAACAUACCGAACCCCACACCGGAUCACGGUCCGGACCGGCUUCCUGGAAAAACAACAAGCUUUAGGCCCGACAACCGAAGCAUUUUUUUUGGGAAGUUCUCUUGGAAUUUUACAGUAAAUUUAAAAAACAAUCAUGAUGAAAAUAAAUAAAUUACAUUUUUGUAAAACACUCCUUUGAUAAAAUACUAACAGUUCAGCUGAAUACAUUGGA
Long non-coding RNA from Girardinichthys multiradiatus, 803 nucleotides. RefSeq lists it as uncharacterized. The record is from RefSeq and is a predicted model, not a curated record. NCBI's taxonomy places the organism in Eukaryota, Metazoa, Chordata, Actinopteri, Cyprinodontiformes, Goodeidae. The transcript has 2 exons.